UUGAUAGCAGUGGAAUCUCAAAUGCUCUAUCUUUCCACUGAUAAGGUAUAACCCAGGCAGAUAUAGUGUGAUUUGGGUCUAUCUCGUCACAAGUCUGUUUUACCAAACUUGGUCCUAAUGGAAGCAAAGGUUUGUGUUUCGAAAGCAGCUGAGGCCAAAUGAUUUU
Molecule: unclassified non-coding RNA, 166 nt
Organism: Spermophilus dauricus (Daurian ground squirrel)
Lineage: Eukaryota; Metazoa; Chordata; Mammalia; Rodentia; Sciuridae
Source: Ensembl